AAGUCGUAACAAGGUUUCCGUAGGUGAACCUGCGGAAGGAUCAUUAACGUGCCCGUGGGGGGCCGGCCCGCCCGGCCUCCCCACCUGGCCACCCUUGUCUAUCUGUACCUGUUGCUUCGGCGGGCCCGCAGUCAUGCCGCUGGGGGUUUGCUCCUGGCCCGCGCCCGCCGAAGACACCGAACUUCUAGUUAAGAUUGUCGUCUGAAUGUUUAACUAAAAUCGUUAAAACUUUCAACAACGGAUCUCUUGGUUCC
This 254-nucleotide unclassified non-coding RNA is filed under the name fungal sp. RNAcentral describes it as "partial internal transcribed spacer region". The stretch from base 1 to 46 matches the Rfam family "Eukaryotic small subunit ribosomal RNA", at positions 1786 to 1831 of the family's 1831-position model. Lineage: Eukaryota; Fungi. The record is from RNAcentral.